RNAcentral lists this ribosomal RNA (544 nucleotides) under Sciadicleithrum umbilicum. RNAcentral describes it as "partial large subunit ribosomal RNA". It matches the Rfam family "Eukaryotic large subunit ribosomal RNA", at positions 159 to 613 of the family's 3401-position model. The record is from RNAcentral. Lineage: Eukaryota; Metazoa; Platyhelminthes; Monogenea; Dactylogyridea; Dactylogyridae.
GCACCUGGGAUCAUGUGCCUACCCGAAGUCCAACUCCGAUUGUGGCUUUGGAUGUCCCAUAGCGGGUGAAAGGCCCGUGCGGGUAGGCUGGUCAUGGUCCUCAGAUGUGUGCGCUUUCGAGUCGGAUUGCUUGAGAAUGCAGUCCAAAGUGGGUGGUAAACUCCAUCCAAGGCUAAAUACUGGCGCGAGUCCGAUAGUAAACAAGUACCGUGAGGGAAAGUUGAAAAGUACUCUGAAGAGAGAGUAAAUAGUACGUGAAACCGGUUGCAGGGAAGCUGGUGGAGUCAAGCUUCAUGCCUUGGAGAUUGUCAUUGGGAGCUAUGUGUGUUUGGUGCACGUUAGUCGAUAUGGAAAGGAUUGGGUGGCCUCGGUCACUUCAAGUCGUUCCGGGUUGUGCGUUUGUGCUGGCAACUUUGCGCCGUUCCCUGUGCUCUAUCUCUUGUGGCAUAGAUCACGGUCAAUGGUGACGAGCGAUGCGAUUGACUAACUGUACUUUGGUAGGCGCGAGUUUGCCGGGUGCAGGAUGGCAGGUCCCACUUGUAUU